AGCAGCCGCGGUAAUUCCAGCUCCAAUAGCGUAUAUUAAAGUUGUUGCAGUUAAAAAGCUCGUAGUUGAAUUUUGGGUCUGGCCGGGCGGUCCGCCCUCCGGGUGAGCACUGUUCCGACGCCGGGCCUAUCCUUCUGGUGAGUCGGCAUGUCCUUUGUUGGGUGUGUCGGGGAACCAGGACCAUUACCUUGAAAAAUUAGAGUGUUCAAAGCAGGCGUAUGCUCGGAUACAUUAGCAUGGAAUAAUGAAAUAGGACGCGUGGUGCUAUUUUGUUGGUUUCUAGAACCGCCGUAAUGAUUAAUAGGGAUAGUUGGGGGCAUUAGUAUUCAAUUGUCAGAGGUGAAAUUCUUGGAUUUAUUGAAGACUAACUUCUGCGAAAGCAUUUGCCAAGGAUGUUUUCAUUAAUCAAGAACGAAAGUUAGGGGAUCGAAGACGAUCAGAUACCGUCGUAGUCUUAACCAUAAACUAUGCCGACUAGGAAUCGGGCGAUGUUAUUCUCAUGACUCGCCCGGCGCCUU
RNAcentral lists this ribosomal RNA (518 nucleotides) under uncultured Ambispora. Its description in RNAcentral is "SSU rRNA". It matches the Rfam family "Eukaryotic small subunit ribosomal RNA", at positions 569 to 1089 of the family's 1831-position model. Lineage: Eukaryota; Fungi; Glomeromycota; Glomeromycetes; Archaeosporales; Ambisporaceae. The record is from RNAcentral.